Molecule: ribosomal RNA, 395 nt
Filed under: uncultured bacterium
Lineage: Bacteria
Description: bacterial SSU rRNA
Rfam family: Bacterial small subunit ribosomal RNA
Source: RNAcentral
GACGAACGCUGGCGGCGUGCUUAACACAUGCAAGUCGAGCGGUAAGGCCCUUUCGGGGGUACGACGAGCGGCGAACGGGUGAGUAACACGUGGGUGACCUGCCCUCAGCUCUGGGAUAAGCCUGGGAAACCGGGUCUAAUACUGGAUAUGACUCCAUGACGCAUGUUGUGGGGUGGAAAGCCUUGUGCGGCUGAGGAUGGGCCCGCGGCCUAUCAGCUUGUUGGUGGGGUGANGGCCUACCAAGGCGACGACGGGUAGCCGGCCUGAGAGGGCGACCGGCCACACUGGGACUGAGACACGGCCCAGACUCCUACGGGAGGCAGCAGUGGGGAAUCUUGCGCAAUGGGCGAAAGCCUGACGCAGCGACGCCGCGUGAGGGAUGACGGCCUCGGUUG